UAAGACGAACCGUGCGAACGUUGUUCGGAAUCACUGGGCUUAAAGGGCGCGUAGGCGGUCUGCCAAGUCGGUGGUGAAAUCUUUCGGCUUAACCGGAAAAGUGCCUUCGAUACUGGCGGACUGGAGGGAGGUAGGGGCAGAUGGAACUUCCGGUGGAGCGGUGAAAUGUGUUGAUAUCGGAAGGAACGCCGGUGGCGAAAGCGAUCUGCUGGACCUCUUCUGACGCUGAGGCGCGAAAGCCAGGGGAGCAAACGGGAUUAGAUACCCCGGUAGUCCUGGCCCUAAACGAUGGGUACUGAGUAGUGGACUUACAUGGGUUCACUGCUGAAGCAAAAGUGGUAAGUACCCCGCCUGGGGAGUAUGGUCGCAAGGCUG
This 375-nucleotide ribosomal RNA is filed under the name uncultured bacterium. Its description in RNAcentral is "bacterial SSU rRNA". It matches the Rfam family "Bacterial small subunit ribosomal RNA", at positions 521 to 896 of the family's 1533-position model. The record is from RNAcentral.